CGCCAGAAAAGAAUGAUCUUGGAACUGAGUGGCGAGGACUAUACCACAUCCAAAAUUUUCGAGACGAUACCCAGACGUUACUGUACUACGAGUAAUAGCUGCGAUGUAAGCCAGCAAUGACCACAAGGAAAAAAUACAUAAGAUGUAAUCUGGAAUUUACUAGAUGCUAUUUUAAACUCCACUCUCGUUCCUCAUCAGUAUACCAAUAAAAUGAGAAUUAAUAGAGGAAAUUCAUUCAGAUUAAAAUAUUCCUCCACUCCUGAUUACGACGAUCCCAACAAUAGGAUGAAAAUUGCUAAUUAGAUCCAGAUUUGAAGGAAAAUACGAUUGCGACGCAAAAGGUGUUUACAGGGUAGGAAAGAGUGUAGUGAGUGGGAAAUCCCAGGGCUCUGGAAGGCAAGUAUAAAAGAAUCAGAAAAUUGCUGCUGCCAUCAGUUCUUGAGUUCGCAUCAAGAGUAAAAUCUUAAAUCAGGAGUCAACAAAAUGGCCAAGUUUCUAGUUAUCAUAUUAGCGGUGCUUCUGGUCGGUGCAUUGGCAUCUCCUGUUGCCCAACAGAACGAGGAACUAGCUGUCGAAACUACGGUGGCUUCCAAAGUGAUUAGGUCAGCAGACCCAAAUCCAGAUCGUCAUCGUGGAAAACAAUAUAACGGUGGAAAACAUGGGUAUGACCAUGGACACGAUCACUAUCAUGACCACAAACAUGAUCACCACAAACAUCAUUGAAGUGGGCAUGAAAAUCGGGAGAGGUGAUACAAAGUUUUCACAAGUGACGAGCUACAGUGGAGAUGACGACGGCUGGUAAUUCUCAGGGUCUGCACAGAAAUCAUUUAAUGAAAUAUUUACUCUUUCUUAGAAUAUUUUAAACUGUUAUAUCUGAAUCGGAAUGUUUCUCAUAUUGAUUACAUUAUUUCAAGUGGUUAUGGAGGACGAAAAGAAAAUUGAAAAUUUUGGAUUGUAUAGUAGCAUGAGGGAAGCAUCAUGAGCCGUUAUGUAUAUACAGAUGAAUGUGAAUCGGUUCGCCAUCAGUGAUUGUAAUAACCACUCAAUACUAAUAUUGGAAUAAAUUUCUCAAGUUACAGUA
Molecule: long non-coding RNA, 1081 nt
Organism: Diachasma alloeum
Lineage: Eukaryota; Metazoa; Arthropoda; Insecta; Hymenoptera; Braconidae
Exons: 4
Source: RefSeq, a predicted model, not a curated record